Molecule: ribosomal RNA, 576 nt
Filed under: Aspergillus latus
Lineage: Eukaryota; Fungi; Ascomycota; Eurotiomycetes; Eurotiales; Aspergillaceae
Also listed under: 1 other name
Description: eukaryotic LSU rRNA
Rfam family: Eukaryotic large subunit ribosomal RNA
Source: RNAcentral
AAAGAAACCAACCGGGAUUGCCUCAGUAACGGCGAGUGAAGCGGCAAGAGCUCAAAUUUGAAAGCUGGCCCCUUCGGGGUCCGCGUUGUAAUUUGCAGAGGAUGCUUCGGGUGCGGCCCCUGUCUAAGUGCCCUGGAACGGGCCGUCAGAGAGGGUGAGAAUCCCGUCUUGGGCAGGGUGCCCGUGCCCGUGUGAAGCUCCUUCGACGAGUCGAGUUGUUUGGGAAUGCAGCUCUAAAUGGGUGGUAAAUUUCAUCUAAAGCUAAAUACCGGCCGGAGACCGAUAGCGCACAAGUAGAGUGAUCGAAAGAUGAAAAGCACUUUGAAAAGAGAGUUAAACAGCACGUGAAAUUGUUGAAAGGGAAGCGCUUGCGACCAGACUCGGCCCCGGGGUUCAGCCAGCAUUCGUGCUGGUGUACUUCCCCGGGGGCGGGCCAGCGUCGGUUUGGGCGGCCGGUCAAAGGCCCCAGGAAUGUAUCGCCCUCCGGGGUUGUCUUAUAGCCUGGGGUGCAAUGCGGCCAGCCCGGACCGAGGAACGCGCUUCGGCACGGACGCUGGCGUAAUGGUCGCAAACGAC